This is a non-coding RNA of Danio rerio (zebrafish), 81 nucleotides long. Lineage: Eukaryota; Metazoa; Chordata; Actinopteri; Cypriniformes; Danionidae. The record is from Rfam.
GGAAGAGAAGAGAUGGCAAGAUGUUGGCAUAGCUGUUAAUGUUUAUGGGCCUGCUAUGCCUCCAUAUUGCCAUUUCUGCAC